GAUGAACGCUGGCGGCGUGCCUAAUACAUGCAAGUCGAGCGAACAGAUAAGGAGCUUGCUCCUUUGACGUUAGCGGCGGACGGGUGAGUAACACGUGGGUAACCUACCUAUAAGACUGGGAUAACUUCGGGAAACCGGAGCUAAUACCGGAUAAUAUUUCGAACCGCAUGGUUCGAUAGUGAAAGAUGGUUUUGCUAUCACUUAUAGAUGGACCCGCGCCGUAUUAGCUAGUUGGUAAGGUAACGGCUUACCAAGGCGACGAUACGUAGCCGACCUGAGAGGGUGAUCAGCCACACUGGAACUGAGACACGGUCCAGACUCCUACGGGAGGCAGCAGUAGGGAAUAUUCCGCAAUGGGCGCAAGCCUGACGGAGCAACGCCGCGUGAGUGAUGAAGGUCUUCGGAUCGUAAAACUCUGUUAUUAGGGAAGAACAUACGUGUAAGUAACUGUGCACGUGUUGACGGUACCUAAUCAGAAAGCCACGGCUAACUACGUG
This 497-nucleotide ribosomal RNA is filed under the name uncultured bacterium. RNAcentral's name for it is "partial 16S ribosomal RNA". It matches the Rfam family "Bacterial small subunit ribosomal RNA", at positions 28 to 507 of the family's 1533-position model. The record is from RNAcentral.